GAUGAACGCUGGCGGCGUGCCUAAUACAUGCAAGUCGAGCGAACAGACGAGGAGCUUGCUCCUCUGACGUUAGCGGCGGACGGGUGAGUAACACGUGGAUAACCUACCUAUAAGACUGGGAUAACUUCGGGAAACCGGAGCUAAUACCGGAUAAUAUAUUGAACCGCAUGGUCCAAUAGUGAAAGACGGUUUUGCUGUCACUUAUAGAUGGAUCCGCGCCGCAUUAGCUAGUUGGUAAGGUAACGGCUUACCAAGGCAACGAUGCGUAGCCGACCUGAGGGGGUGAUCGGCCACACUGGAACUGAGACACGGUCCAGACUCCUACGGGAGGCAGCAGUAGGGAAUCUUCCGCAAUGGGCGAAAGCCUGACGGAGCAACGCCGCGUGAGGGAUGAAGGUCUUCGGAUCGUAAAGCUCUGUUAUUAGGGAAGAACAAAUGUGUAAGUAACUAUGCACGUCUUGACGGUACCUAAUCAGAAAGCCACGGCUAACUACGUG
RNAcentral lists this ribosomal RNA (497 nucleotides) under uncultured bacterium. Its description in RNAcentral is "partial 16S ribosomal RNA". It matches the Rfam family "Bacterial small subunit ribosomal RNA", at positions 28 to 507 of the family's 1533-position model. The record is from RNAcentral.